UGCCCGAUAGUAUAAGGGUAGUAUAGAAGUCUCUGAAUCUUUUGGUCUUGGUUCGAAUCCAGGUCGGGCAA
Molecule: transfer RNA, 71 nt
Filed under: Chitinophagales bacterium
Lineage: Bacteria; Pseudomonadati; Bacteroidota; Chitinophagia; Chitinophagales
Description: tRNA-Gln
Rfam family: tRNA
About the family: Transfer RNA (tRNA) molecules are approximately 80 nucleotides in length.
Source: RNAcentral